This is a non-coding RNA of Arachis ipaensis, 306 nucleotides long. Lineage: Eukaryota; Viridiplantae; Streptophyta; Magnoliopsida; Fabales; Fabaceae. The record is from RefSeq and is a predicted model, not a curated record.
GCGUCGGUCCAUCGUCUUCAUCCAUCUGUGGCGUCGUCUGCAGCGGACGCUGGGUGGUCGGCCAUCCGUCGCCUCCUUCUCUCUACGUUGGUUUGUUCUAUGUUAUUCUGUUCAGAGGUCUUCUGCGCUAUUUUCCCAUCUAAGCCGUCGCUGUUCCUCCCGGUGCUUUGCCUCGCCUGACGUCGCUACACCGCACCGCACCGAGCCCGUCGCGCCUGACCUCCCGUCUGGCCUCUCAUCCCCGCGCCGCUCCUCUCCUCGAUAUCCCUGUACUCGAUCUGUCACAAAACAGUUUAUGAAGAUUUG